This 1124-nucleotide ribosomal RNA is filed under the name uncultured bacterium. RNAcentral describes it as "bacterial SSU rRNA". It matches the Rfam family "Bacterial small subunit ribosomal RNA", at positions 46 to 1162 of the family's 1533-position model. The record is from RNAcentral.
AUUGAUUUUAUGCUUGCAUAAAUGAUUUUUUGGAUCCGGAGCGAGUGGCGAACUGGUGAGUAACACGUGGGUAACCUGCCCCGAAGCGGGGGAUAACAUUUGGAAACAAGUGCUAAUACCGCAUAAUUAGUUGGAACCGCAUGGUUCCAACUUGAAAGAUGGCUCUGCUAUCACUUUGGGAUGGACCCGCGCCGUAUUAGUUAGUUGGUGAGAUAAAAGCCCACCAAGACGAUGAUACGUAGCCGACCUGAGAGGGUAAUCGGCCACAUUGGGACUGAGACACGGCCCAGACUCCUACGGGAGGCAGCAGUAGGGAAUCUUCCACAAUGGACGAAAGUCUGAUGGAGCAACGCCGCGUGAGUGAUGAAGGUUUUCGGAUCGUAAAACUCUGUUGUUAAAGAAGAACAAGUGUUAGAGUAACUGUUAACACUUUGACGGUAUUUAACCAGAAAGCCACGGCUAACUACGUGCCAGCAGCCGCGGUAAUACGUAGGUGGCAAGCGUUGUCCGGAUUUAUUGGGCGUAAAGCGAGCGCAGGCGGUUUUGUAAGUCUGCUGUGAAAGCCCUCAGCUCAACUGAGGAAGUGCAGUGGAAACUACAAAACUUGAGUACAGAAGAGGAAAGUGGAACUCCAUGUGUAGCGGUGAAAUGCGUAGAUAUAUGGAAGAACACCAGUGGCGAAGGCGGCUUUCUGGUCUGUUACUGACGCUGAGGCUCGAAAGCAUGGGUAGCGAACAGGAUUAGAUACCCUGGUAGUCCAUGCCGUAAACGAUGAAUACUAGGUGUUGGAGGGUUUCCGCCCUUCAGUGCCGCAGCUAACGCAUUAAGUAUUCCGCCUGGGGAGUACGACCGCAAGGUUGAAACUCAAAGGAAUUGACGGGGGCCCGCACAAGUGGUGGAGCAUGUGGUUUAAUUCGAUGCUACGCGAAGAACCUUACCAGCUCUUGACAUCUUCUGCCAACCCAAGAGAUUGGGCGUUCCCUUCGGGGACAGAAUGACAGGUGGUGCAUGGUUGUCGUCAGCUCGUGUCGUGAGAUGUUGGGUUAAGUCCCGCAACGGGCGCAACCCUUAUUAUUAGUUGCCAGCAUUUAGUUGGGCACUCUAGUGAGACUGCCGGUGAUAAA